UACGGGGGGGGCAAGCGUUGUUCGGAAUUAUUGGGCGUAAAAGGCUUGUAGGUGGCCACGCCAAGUCGGAUGUGAAAUCUCCCGGCUCAACUGGGAGGGGUCAUUCGAUACUGGCGGGCUCGAGGCCGGUAGGGGGAAGUGGAAUUCCCGGUGUAGUGGUGGAAUGCGUAGAUAUCGGGAGGAACACCAGUGGCGAAGGCGGCUUCCUGGACCGGUUCUGACACUGAGGAGCGAAAGCGUGGGGAGCGAUCCGG
RNAcentral lists this ribosomal RNA (254 nucleotides) under uncultured bacterium. Its description in RNAcentral is "partial 16S ribosomal RNA". It matches the Rfam family "Bacterial small subunit ribosomal RNA", at positions 524 to 776 of the family's 1533-position model. The record is from RNAcentral.